CCAAGUUCCUCCAUGAGUGGACUUCCAUGUAAGCUUACUUUUAAGCUUAGUUUUCUUCACUUAAUUCAAAUAACUCCAUUAAAAACCUCCCUAGAGCUUAUUGUUACAACUUGAGAAGAGGAUUACAAGAAGAAAGGAGAGUUAAAGAUAGGGUUUUGAAGUUUUAAGAAAGCUGAAAAAGACUGGAAACUCGAAGAGACUGAGUCA
RNAcentral lists this unclassified non-coding RNA (207 nucleotides) under Hevea brasiliensis (rubber tree). The record is from RNAcentral. Lineage: Eukaryota; Viridiplantae; Streptophyta; Magnoliopsida; Malpighiales; Euphorbiaceae.